This is a small nucleolar RNA of Magnolia sinica, 108 nucleotides long. The record is from RefSeq and is a predicted model, not a curated record. NCBI's taxonomy places the organism in Eukaryota, Viridiplantae, Streptophyta, Magnoliopsida, Magnoliales, Magnoliaceae.
UAGCUAUGAUGUGGAAAUAAAUUCAAGAGAUCCUUAAAUCUCUCCUAGCAUUAAAAGAAAGUCUCUUCAUUCUUCUAGGCGAAAUUCAUGAUUGCCGUCCUUAAGGUG